AUGAGUAACGCAGCCUUCUCUAUAUGCUCGUGGAAUGUGCGCGGCCUCGGUGAUCAGGACAAAUGCACUGACAUUCUCUCAGAGCUAAUCUCCAUUAACCCACAUAUUGCCCUUCUUCAAGAAUCCAAACUUGAAACGCUACCCGACCAGAAGCUACGGUCAUUCAUGCCCCGCCACCUUGACCAAGUUUUCUCCUUACCAGAUGUAGGCUCUGCGGGCGGCACCAUCUCUGCCGUCAACCCUUCCUUCUUUCAAGUAAUCUCCUUCUCACACCUCUCCUUCUCCUCAACCCUAAUCUUGCGAUCAACGAUGAGUGACCAAAACAUAGGCAUCACCAACAUCUACGCUCCCUCCUCGCGUGCCCUCAAGCAAGAAUUCCUCAAUGAAUUACUGCUUAUUGCCCAACCAGAUAACUCACCCUGGCUUCUCGUUGGUGACUUUAACCUCCUCCGAUUCCCCUCAGAUAAAAACAACGCGGCUUUUAGACAGGCAGAGGCCAACGCCUUCAACCAAACUAUUGAUGACCUGGCUCUCAUUGAACUCCCGCUUCUUGAUCGACAAUUCACAUGGUCCAAUAAUAGAAACACCCCCACCCUCGAACGCAUCGACCGCGCCUUCUUCAAUCUAGCUUGGGCAAAUGCCUUUCCCAACUCCUCCCUCACAUCUCUCACGCGUUUCAUGUCAGAUCACGUUCCCCUAAUCAUCACCGUCACAACAACAAUCCCGCGCUCAAACUUCUUCAAAUUUGAACCUCAUUGGGCCCAACUACAACCCUGCCGUGAUACUGUCUCAUCGAUUUGGGCCACAAUUCAGCCCACCUCGUUGCUGAACGCCGGCGCUUCCCUCGCCUCAUGGCUCAAACAAACCCGUGCCACGCUCAAAAAAUGGGCUCGUUCGCGCGUUCCCGCCCCACUACGUGAGUCACGCUGGAAAAUAGCCAUCUCUGCUCUUGACCUCGUAGAAGAAUCUAGGCCCCUCUCCCGCCCAGAACAACUCACAAGACAGAUCAUUGUUUCUCUCCUAAAGAGCACCAUCCUAGAAAAAGUUUCCUACUGGAAAUGGCGUGCUAAAGUGUCACGUGCGAUCCAUGGCGGUGAAAACUCCCGUUUCUUUCACAUGUCUGCCUCACAUAGAAUGCGUAGGAACAAGAUCUUCUCCCUCACCCAAGACGGCUCGACUUUUACCUCACACCCAUAA
RNAcentral lists this ribosomal RNA (1197 nucleotides) under Triticum aestivum (bread wheat). Its description in RNAcentral is "partial small subunit ribosomal RNA". The record is from RNAcentral. Lineage: Eukaryota; Viridiplantae; Streptophyta; Magnoliopsida; Poales; Poaceae.